AGUGAACGCUGGCGGUAGGCCUAACACAUGCAAGUCGAACGGCAGCACAGUAAGAGCUUGCUCUUACGGGUGGCGAGUGGCGGACGGGUGAGGAAUACAUCGGAAUCUACUUUUUCGUGGGGGAUAACGUAGGGAAACUUACGCUAAUACCGCAUACGACCUACGGGUGAAAGCAGGGGAUCUUCGGACCUUGCGCGAUUGAAUGAGCCGAUGUCGGAUUAGCUAGUUGGCGGGGUAAAGGCCCACCAAGGCGACGAUCCGUAGCUGGUCUGAGAGGAUGGUCAGCCACACUGGAACUUAGCCACGGUCCAGACUCCUACGGGAGGCAGCAGUGGGGAAUAUUGGACAAUGGGCGCAAGCCUGAUCCAGCCAUACCGCGUGGGUGAAGAAGGCCUUCGGGUUGUAAAGCCCUUUUGUUGGGAAAGAAAAGCAGCAGGUUAAUACCCCGCUGUUCUGACGGUACCCAAAGAAUAAGCACCGGCUAACUUCGUG
RNAcentral lists this ribosomal RNA (492 nucleotides) under uncultured bacterium. Its description in RNAcentral is "partial 16S ribosomal RNA". It matches the Rfam family "Bacterial small subunit ribosomal RNA", at positions 29 to 507 of the family's 1533-position model. The record is from RNAcentral.